CUCGUAGAGUUUUAAUCUGGCUCAGAUUGAACGCUGGCGGCAGGCCUAACACAUGCAAGUCGAACGGUAACAUUUCUAGCUUGCUAGAAGAUGACGAGUGGCGGACGGGUGAGUAAUGCUUGGGAACUUGCCUUUGCGAGGGGGAUAACAGUUGGAAACGACUGCUAAUACCGCAUAAUGUCUUCGGACCAAACGGGGCUUUUAGCUCCGGCGCAAAGAGAGGCCCAAGUGAGAUUAGCUAGUUGGUAAGGUAACGGCUUACCAAGGCGACGAUCUCUAGCUGUUCUGAGAGGAAGAUCAGCCACACUGGGACUGAGACACGGCCCAGACUCCUACGGGAGGCAGCAGUGGGGAAUAUUGCACAAUGGGGGAAACCCUGAUGCAGCCAUGCCGCGUGUGUGAAGAAGGCCUUCGGGUUGUAAAGCACUUUCAGUUGUGAGGAAAAGUUAGUAGUUAAUACCUGCUAGCCGUGACGUUAACAACAGAAGAAGCACCGGCUAACUCCGUGCCAGCAGCCGCGGUAAUACGGAGGGUGCGAGCGUUAAUCGGAAUUACUGGGCGUAAAGCGCACGCAGGCGGUUUGUUAAGCUAGAUGUGAAAGCCCCGGGCUCAACCUGGGAUGGUCAUUUAGAACUGGCAGACUAGAGUCUUGGAGAGGGGAGUGGAAUUCCAGGUGUAGCGGUGAAAUGCGUAGAUAUCUGGAGGAACAUCAGUGGCGAAGGCGACUCCCUGGCCAAAGACUGACGCUCAGGCGAAAGCUUUUCCCUC
Molecule: ribosomal RNA, 768 nt
Filed under: Vibrio sp.
Lineage: Bacteria; Pseudomonadati; Pseudomonadota; Gammaproteobacteria; Vibrionales; Vibrionaceae
Description: bacterial SSU rRNA
Rfam family: Bacterial small subunit ribosomal RNA
Source: RNAcentral